This 27-nucleotide non-coding RNA is filed under the name Bombyx mori (domestic silkworm). Lineage: Eukaryota; Metazoa; Arthropoda; Insecta; Lepidoptera; Bombycidae. The record is from RNAcentral.
UAUAUUCAAUUACAAGUGUGUUGCAGC